CGGGAGAGGCCACAGCAGUGAGAGGCCCGCAUACCGCAAAAAAAAAAAAAAAAAAAAAAAGAAUGACAGAUGUCCCUCACGGCUCUGCCUGCAGUUCUUUUCUGCACUCUUUCUAGUGAGAGCAUCCGGGAAGCCUCACGCCACCCGGUUACUAUUUUAGCCCCUUCCAGUUAGUUUCCCCUCAAAAUGAGUGAGUCUGUAGUCACCCAUCUGAUUGGACGGGGUUUGGAGGAGAAGGAACUUUGGGUGGAAAGAAGCAAAAAAGAGAAGUCGGGCGUGGAGGGGGUCCAAAGAAAAUGCCACAGGUUUUUCCUGGAGUUGACCUGUCUGCCUUUUGUGUUAAAGGCUCCUGUCAUUUUCACUCUGUACUUGUUCAUUCCAGGGCUGUAGGUCCACCCGAUUUAAUGGAGUCGCCACUGUGGGCCACUCCAGGUUUUGCCUGUCCCGGUAGGCGGCCCACGGAGAUUCUUUGGAAAGUGGCGUGAGUUAUCCCUGCGUGUGCUCACCCUUUUCCUGAAGCCUCCCAGACUCCUCUGGCCUCCCUUGUGUCAAGAUCAGCAGAGACCUCACUGUUUUCUAGUUAUUUACCAGCUGGUGCCUUAUUCUCUGCUCUAAUGCACAGGCAUCCAGCACGUGCAUGGAGGAGGGAGGCCCGGGACGCAAGGGGAGCAGGAGGGAGGCUGUCUGACCUCGACUAGGUCUUCAGCAACGGCUUCUCGGAGGAGCUGACAUCUAAGGUUCGUCAGUCUGUCUGACCUUCGUAAGUGUUCACCCCUCACCCCCAAGAGAAAAGGGCUUUGUUACACACAGGAGGAGCUCAGUCAAGAAUUCCUGAGUCAACGCCGCUUACUUCAAAUGCAGUGGGCACUUUGAAAACAAAUGUGUUUGUUUUGUGUGUGUGUCCAGGGCAGCGUCUAUCAGACCUGCGGCGACUUCAGCCUCGGGACGUUGUUGAGCAGAAGAGCCUGUAAGGUUUUAGAAAGGAUUAGCCGUGCAUGCGAAUAGGACCAGGUUCUGUAAUUCUUCCUGAAACCCCUUCUCAAUGGGCAAUUAGGGGAUUAGCCGUACAAUUUGAUCAAAUGUUCAGACCUUUUACAUACUGUACGGUACUUACCGGGCCCAGGAAUAAAUCCAUUUGUCCUCACAUAAGUCAUCCUUAAAAGAAUCGCUCGGCUAAGAGAUUUACCACCGAUACUUAAACUGAAAGCACUACCGCUCAGACUAACACAGCAAAACUUAAUGAUUUUUUUUGUCUCAAACAUCACAGAGAAUUUCAGCCCUUCUUAGAAUUUCACAACAGCACAUCAUCCGUCCCGUGUGGACCGUGCUCCAGAUCAAAGGCCCUGCGUCCACACACGAGUUUCACAUUCAGUCUAAGUAAUUCUUACGGAAGAGAAUGGUAUGACUAAAGGUUAAUUGUAGAACUACAAGGGAUAAUGCCGUGCAUUUGAUGAAGUCAGUGGGCAAUGAAUAGAUGUUCUCUGAAGGACAAGCUUCCAGCAUCUUAAGGAGUGAGUUACUCACAGUAGGGUCGCAGCCUUCUUUGUACGUGAAUUCAGAUUUUCCAUCAAGAUUCCAGCGCAGAGCUUGGCAUUUGCUGUUCCCUUUACAUGAGACAUUCACUUUGAAAAUGAGGGGACUCUUGACAAUGAUUUAAAAAUGUUUUAAAACUUUGUUGAGUUUAAUAACACCCACACACCUAUAUCCAUUUUUUUCAGAGGAGAAGAGGCCAGGUCUUGAUCUUUCAGGAAUCUAGCUGUGCUUCUCUCUCGGGCUCCCUGGCCAUCUCUCAUCUGUGUCCCACGUGUGCUGCCUGUUUCUCGCCUUCUGCCUUUUGUGCGCUGUUUCUUGCCUGGACUGCACGUCCCACCCCUGGUCUUUCUUGUCGCCCAUCGGACGCCUACUUCCUUAGCAGGGCCCUGUUCCAGCAUCACCCCCUUGGGGGUGAUCAGUCUCAGGUAAAGAUGCUUAGACUUGCUUUUGUGCAAUACCCUUACUUUUAUGUAACUCUACCGCUAAACUUUUUAUAUUCUAUUGCAAAUAUUUGUCUGUGUCCUCAAUAGUGGUGACGUGGUGGGCUGGUGGCAGUGAUUUUGUUCUCCAGAAAACAUGUGUCAAUGUCUGGAGACGUUCCUGGUUGUCACGACUUGGGUCCAGGGGUAGAGGUCAGGGUGCUGCAAAACAUCAUACAGCACAGGACAGACCCACAACAAAGGACCGUCUGGCCCCGAAGGCCAGCAGUGCUGAGGCUAAGAAGCCUGGUCACACAGAGUCCUUUCCUCUUAGCCGGAGUUCUCGUCAGCAGGGCCCGACACGCAGGAGGCACCCAAAUCUUUUCAGACGAAUGAAUGUCGUGCAUUUUUUUAUCUCUUCUCCCAAACCCACAGCCGGAGCUGCGUUCAUUGUGGCGCCAGGAACCGGUGUUGAGAAACUGUUUAACUGAAGAGGUGAGUGAAAGAAAUGCCCUUGCACUUCGCCUGGCGACAAGCGUCCCCAGGAGCCCCGUCACCUUCUCCAGUCUCCUGCCCAGUUCACUUCCUUCGGGGCAGGCCCAGUUUCAGAUGAAAAGUUCCUUUUUUCUGGCCCAGAAUUGUUUUGCCCAGAAAACAUCUCCUUUCCAGCCCCGUGGUCCCACGUGGGGAAAGAAAGUAAGAAAGGACGGGGUGCUGGGCUGCUGAGUGAAGAGAAGCAGCGGGGCCUCCUCCCUCGGGCCGCGGGGAGUGAAGUGUUUGGAUAAGCAUCGCUCUGGGCUCAUCUGGAAAGUAUGCGUCUCGAAAGGGAGAUGAGGCAAAAAAUCCUGCUUGAUCCCCAAAACUGUCGCCUGGAGGCUCGGCGCCCCCUGAGAAAACUGGGCGACUCCAGGCUGGAAAAGUUCAGAAACCCAUUAGGCGGCCGCUGGGGGUGCGGGCAGUGUCGAGGCCUAGCUCCGCGGAGGCCACAGGUCAUCGCAGGCCGGCUUCAGCCGGAUGUCGCCGCCCACGCGCCCCUUGGAAGGGAGGUUCAUUAACCUCUGGUCUCACUGAGACCAGACCUUCUCUCACCUGCCCUUUGAAAGAGCUGGUUCCGUUGGCCGUCCACCAGGACAGCAGACAAAGGUGCGAGACGGGGUUGCGGGGUGCGGGCGGGACGCUCGGGCUGCGUGCCCAGGUCCGCAUGAUUAUGGUCUAUGUGGACAAAUUGCCGAUUGUGUCCGAACUGCGAUCACAAAUGAAACCCGACGGUGGGGUGGACCGCGGCGCUGAGAAGGGCAGGAGUCGGUUUCCCCAUGAAGGAGUUCCCGUCUCCUCGAGCGGGGCCCGGGGUGCUACACCUCCCAGACGACUCCUCGAUGGGUUUCCAUUCUCGGCUUUGAGUUGACCCUGGGCAGGAAGAGGUCACCUGGCCCCUCAAUGGUUAACCGUGGCCAAGUGAGCUUCCCAGAAGAGCCCGUUGGCUUUAGAUAUUGCCCUUCUGCUUACUCCGAGGAAGUGGUGUGUGAUUAUGUUUGUAUGUGUGUGGCUUCUCCUUUUUAAACACAUAGAUUACAGGGUGAUUGCACUGUUAUUUAGAAAUCGGUGAGUCUAGAUGGGGCGAGCGCACCCACAGGAGGAGGGCCGGGCACACAGUGACGGUACCACCGGGCGCUCCGCCAGCCCGUGGCCCGACGUGGGCUGCUUGCAGAGACCCGCGUGCCGGUCCUCCUGUCACUGCUGGGUGGCGGCGAGCACACUGCUCCACACAGACUCCAAGGAGCAACUGGGGGGUCGGCGAGGCUGGUCCUUUCUGGGAGCCCCCGUGGCAGGUUUUCACGUGACCUUGUGGAGACCUGGGUAUCAGUUUCUGUGGCUUAUGUUUCGCCUCCUGGAACUUUUAGCUGUAAGUACCAAACGCGCUCGCGAGAUACACUGUAAAAUAAUUCUGCCCAAGCGCCAGCGGAAAACGUGGGCAAUCGUGGUUUCUUUAGGUUGUUUCUGAGACAGGGAUCGCACUGGCCCCAGGGGAACACAGGGUAUGUUCUUGGAAGAAGCUGGUCCUUCAUGGGGUCUGUUUCUCUCUGGCGGUCAGGUGCUGAAUAGGGAAAGGGGAACGGUCCCAGGGUGGUCAGCAGAGGGUCAGAGAUUCCCAGCUGGGGUGACUGUGCCCCGAGAGGACAUUUGCCAACGGCUGGAGACGUUUUCGUUUGUCGGUUUGGGAGGGUGGUGGGUGUGCUCCUGGCAUCGAGUGGGCGGAGCCUUGGGCUGCUGCUAAACGUCCCCCGAGCACAGGUGGCCCCUCAGCGCACAGGAUGCCCAGCCCGAGGUGCACGGUGCCCAGGGGACAGACGCGGGGGGACGUGGCAGUGAGACAGUGCCUCCAGAGCCCCGGCCCCGUUCCACACUCGCUCUUCACUUACCUGGAGGCUGCAGCGCACGGGAGCGGCGCUACCACCUCCUUCGAAUCACACACCUGCAGGCAGCGCCCUUCUCUGUGUUCCUUGGGCCGUUUCCCCCGAACCCGGUCCCCGUAGACCCCGGGCUGCUGGCCCCUCUCUCCCGUCGUCCUGACAUCUACGUGGAGGGGACGUGCGCCCCUCGCCUCCGGCGUCUGGACUCGGCCCACAGGCUCUGCCCCCGCUCUGGCCCCGGCGCCGCCGUGUCUGCUCCUCUGUCACUCUCACGGCCCCGCCCCGCACGCUCUCCCCGCACCCUGCGGGCACCCAGGCUCUCGGCGAGCGCUCGCCUCCCCGCAGCGCCGUCUGCUACCGCCCUUCCUGUCUCUCUGUCCGCGCCCGGCUGACCGUCGGGGUUCUUACGUGAGAAACUAGAAGUAGCCCUGCCUGCACCUGGUGCUGGCGUCUCUGUCCUCUCGUCACGGUGAUGGCCGUCUCUGCGCCUCUCCCAAGACGCCCCCCUGCUGCGCGGGGGCCCCUCGGCUUGCCCCUCCGUACAGAGCCUACACCGGCGUCACUGACUCUCCUCCACUUGGCUUCAUCCCAAACAGCGUACAGACUUUCCAGACUCUUCCACCUAAAAAGCCCUUCCUGACCCACUGGCCGCCCGGCUACUGCCUUACUUCUCCCUCCCCUUGCACAGCAAAACUCUUUACCAACCGCACUCUGGCCUAUUUCCGCUUCCGAUCUUAGCAUCUUCUCCAGCAAAUUCCGUGUGGCCAGUCACGUGGUCAAGGGCCAGCCCGUCUCGUGCUACUUCUGUCAGUAGCAGCUGACAGAUCCACAGCGGUCGUGCCCUCUGUCCCCAGGGCUUCUGGAAUAUACAGGCUUGUCUGGUUGUUGGUCUGUUUUUGUUUAUUUUGGGCCUCACAGGCAGCUCCCUGCCAGCGUCCUUGGCUGGCGCCCGUCUUCCGUCCACCGUCCUGUGCUCCCUGAUGCAGGCCUGGGGCUCUACAUGCCGUCGAUUAAGUGUCCUCCGCUGAUUCCCACACGGCCUCUCCCCGAGCCCCGGACUUCAGCAACGCGCUGUCUGCGCGGCCUCUCUCCUUGGGCGGGGCUGAGGCUCCGCGGAUUUUAAAUUGCCGCCGUUAGAGCCGGGUCUUCCCCCUCUCGUUUGCUGCCCUGACACAUGAUCGUUGGAGCCUCGACUCCUUCAUUUUCCUCACCCUCCUGGUCUAAACUCGACCACGUCCCAUCCACCCUCCCUGGAAAGCCCGUGGCUGGUGUGGCCGAGGCCCCCGGCUGGUCUUCUGCGGGGACAUUGCUGCUCCCCUGUCCCCUGCACCCCCGGCCCUGGCCCUGGCCCCGGCCUCUCUCCCAGUCUGAUCUCUUCAGUGGCCGCCAGCGUGACCUUUAACAUGUGCAUUAAAAGCAGGCCCCUCUCCUGACCAGGGCCCUCCAGGGGCUCGCUCGUCCUUAGGAUCUGGCCAGGCCCCUCAUCUUGGUCCCCUGCCCUCAGGCCCCGGGCCUGGCUCCUCUGAGGACCGGCCACUCCCACGCUCAAGCUUUGGGGUCAGGCCUCAGCCCCUUUACCCUCCCUGUUCCCUCUGCCUGGGACCUUCUUGCCCAGGGCCUUUCCAUGUGCUGCUUGUAUAACCCGGGGCUUAUUAAAUUUCACCUCCCAGGGCAGGCCUUGCCCACUGCUGUGCUCAGGAGGUGACCUCCACCCGCCUUUCUCUUGUUUUAUUUCCUGCCUGGCCUUGAUCACCCGACAGUGCACAUUCUAUGUGCCUGUUACUCUCUCUUCCCUGUUAGACUAUCGGGCCCCCCGGGCAGGGAGUUCAUCUCUUUCAUUCACAGUACAUCUCUGGUGCCUGGAACAGUGACGGGAACAGAGUGGACGCUGGCUGGAUGCCUGUGACGUCCUCUCCCCUGAGACGGACCAAGAGAGAGACUGAGCCCAAAGCUUCGGUUCCCGCAGUCCUGAGAGCAGCAGUAUAUCGCGGCGUCUUUUUCCAUCGGUCUUAAAAGUAGGUGGAGCGGGUUAGUCAGGAAUUCCUCUUUUUCUCUAAAAUUCUUGGGGGGAGGGUAACCAGGAGUGUGGAAAGCUGGCCUCGGGUUUUGGGCACUCUGAUUGCUUGUCCGAUGCUGUCUCUGUUUGUUGUGUGGUCUUGAGCCAUGGACUUCGUCUUAAAUUUCCAUAUCCUUCCCUAAGGGUUGACUUGUUUGCUCUGUUAAAAUGCAGACACCUCUGGGAGACGCAACAUUAAAGUUCUACUAGAAGGAAUCGGGAGGCUCUUUUCUCUAGCUCCUCCAGGGGGUGCUGGACAGGGGAAGUGACCUUAUUCUCACUCUGCUGAGCUCACGCUAGAAUUGAAGAGUUUCGAAAAUUAUUGCUAUUCUUUCCAAAAGUGAUUUGAGGCAAACAGCGACAAACCCAAGAUUUGUUAUUCUUAUUGUUGCUAUUAUUUAUUUAUUGUUAUCAUUAACAAAAUCUGUGACAACCGUCGCAAUAGCUCUAAAAUUGUACCGAAGAUAAAAUAACCAAGACUCUAGUCCUAGUUCUUCUAUGACCAGAGUGAAAGGACUGUUUCAGGCAGUUCACUUCGCCGACGUUGGCAGGUUUGCAAAGCUCACGUGAGUUCCUGGGGGCAUCGGGCUAGGGGAGCUCGAGUCCGCCCCGCCCUCAAACAUGGAUCUUCCUCACGUGAUCUUCCCCGAGAAGCCGUGUCUGGGAACCUUUCAUGUUCUUUAUUUGUGCCACGUGUACUCAUGUGUUGGUGGUGUAUUCUACCGUGAAUGUUAAGGCAGGCUAUAUAUCUAUACAGAAAAUAAAUUUAAGGUUAAGUACCUUCUGGAGCAAGGUAGGUUUAAAAAAUGAAUAGCUACGAAGUUUUAUUUCAAGGAGACAGGAUAGCUUUGAGUGAUGAUUAUCCUUGACCCAGUUUCUGUAUUUUGCUAAGAGUGUGGAAAAUACUUUUGCAAUUACAGGGGUUGGAUUUGGGCUUCUUGACUCUGUAACGAGCUUGAAAAAGGCUGUUUAUGUAAUUGAACUCAGGGCCCAGCCUCACCAAAGCAGCAAACAAGUCACUCUGCUGUUCUCAGCGCCAGCAGUUAUUACAACCCCGCAUUGCAUCACUUUUCUUUAUAUAGAUCAUCAGUCACUGGAACCUCUUCAGGUCUCUCUUACCAUUCUCCCCCUUGGCCUUAAAACAAGUUUACUGAGCUAAUUCAUUACCCUUGCUUUUGAAAUAUAAGCAUUGAUUAGCAAGUUUAUGCCAAACGUCUUACGUAAGUUUUUCCUGGAAACUGUGAAAUCUAAUCUGAAAAGGAAAGAAGGAACAACCUUUACAGACGUUACUAGAACACACGCUGAGUUUUCUUUGUUGCUGUCCAGUUAUCUCUGUAGCUUUGUUUUGUAAUUGGAAAUAGACCCCAAAGCUUCUGAUUGUUUCAGGCAAAUCAGGAAAUGAAUUUAGGUGUUUGAUCCCUCCUGGCUAAUAUGUGUUGAUUGGUAAAGUGAAAUUUUCCCUCUUACUUUCACAUUUCAAAGAGUUAUAAUUAUUCUUUCCUUUUCCCUUAUACUCAGAGAAGAGAAGUCGAUUCAAUUGAGAUCACUUUUUAUCAACUGCUCCCUGCCCCGCACUUUUAAAGGACAUAUUUAAGUAGCUCUCAUUUUAGAGAAGAGCAUUUUGCUCAACCAGCCGCUGCCUAGGUUUCAUCCUACGGUCUGUGCCUCAAACAACUGGCCUCCCCAGAAAGUCUCCAUUGUAACGACCGCCUGUCCCUUAAUUACCUGCAUCUGUCGUCCUUCUAGAGGCUACCAGGCACUUUUCAAAUACCUGAUCUUUCCUCCACCUUCUUUCUCUUCAUCUGCUUUGCAGCACUUUGCACGAGGGCCACGCUCUGUCCUUCCAGCCCUCUCCUCCUGAGGCUUUGCGACGUCGAAGCCCCCGGUCCUCUGUCUUCUGACCUACUCGUCUCCUCUGGGCUGUUCCCCGGGGGUCGCUCUCCAAGGCUCGGGUUCCCAUCAGUGCUCCUGCUCUCUUGUCCCGGGUAAACAUCUUUGUGUCACGACUUCAGCUAUUACUUCACAGCUGAGACACGCAUCCCUGGAUCUACUCUGUCUCCAUCCCCGUGUCUUGGACUGUUUUCCAAAGCAUCUUUGCUCUGACGUGUCAUGAUCAUCUCACACUCAGCGUGUCUGAAGCCACGGCAACACGACUGGUUUCCUUUUCCAAGUCCUUUGUUUCCAUGAACGGUGUCACUACUCUUCUAAUUAAAUAGUUUCAGAAUCUUGACAUAAUCUUUCGUAUUUUCUUUUUUCUCUCUUCUCAUAUAACUACUUUGUAGAUGAUGAUAGGUACGGGCCGUUUCUGUCAGUUUCCACAUUACUCCUCAGUAUUACUGAUAAGUUAUUCCUAAGUGCAACUGAUAGCAUGAUUACCUGCUUAGAAAGACGUCUUAAAUUUGAAUGAUCUGACCAGUAGCCACGGGACGAGAUCAUACUAAAACUGGAAGGAUAAUCACGGUGCUUUGAGUCAGCCUUUUGACUCAGAGUAACUUCUAGGGCAUAAUCUUAUCCACCCAUCCAUCCAUCCAUCCAUCCAUCCAUCCAUCCAUCCAUCCAUCCACAGCCAUCCACCUACCUACUUACCUACUUACUUACCUAUGAACUGACUAUUUCUCUCUCAGGGUUUCUCAGCCUUGGCACUGCUGAGAAUGUCUUUACAAAUAAUUCAGUGUUCUGUAAGUAAUAUUAUAAUAUUCAGCCUGCAUUGUCUACCUGUAUUUAUUUUUCUAAAAAAAGACUGGUUGAAGAAAUUGUUUGGACAAGCCCUUAUCUGUGGCUUCUGGUUAGAGGAUUUAGCAUGGUAAGGAAUUAAGAGGCACCAAAGAAAGAGCUUUGCCCAGUGGAAAUUGGAAGACAUUUUAUUUACAAAUGCAGUGCAGAGUACAGAAUGCCCUCUUGGGCUCAAAGCCCAGGGCCAGCACUUUGCUUGUUCCGAGAAGCACGCUUUUCUUAUUUCUAAAAAUGAGAGUAAUUUUACCUAUUUCAUAGCCCUGUUGUAAGUGGUAAAUGAAAUGUUUGUAAAGCCUGGACACAGUGCCUGGCACGUGGAACAACAGAGCAAGGCGAGCUCUUGGCCGAAACAGAGGCGGCGGGAUUGCUGUGGUUGGAGUUGGGUGGGGGGUCUGGACCGAAGCUCACCCUUCCCGCGGAGGCCCAGCCCUGCCCACCUGGCCGCCCGGUUCCCUGGGGGCUACUCCUGGCUGCGUCCCCGGCUGAGGUCAGCUCCGUCUCGUGGCUGUGAGGACGAAGUCGCUGGCACACACAGCAUCCCAAGCUGUGAAUUGUUUGGGUGGCAGUUUCCGUGGGUGUGCAACACCGUUUUUCUCAGUCGGAGCAAAGCCCUCCCCGAGACCCCACGCGGACCGGAGUGGGAUUUGGGCUCUGUGGGUCUUGAAGGCUGACGGCCACGGAUUCACACCUUCGUUACAACACGUUUAUAAACCUACUUUAUCGUCAAAAUGAGGCUUGUGCUGCAGGAGUGCUGUUCAGUUUAACGCACGAUCAGCCCUCUUGGAGAUGAAAAUACCAGCCGAGAGAGACGUGCCAGUGCAGGGGAAGAGUCGGCCUGAGGUCCCGCCCUCAAGGCUCACCCCACGUGAGCCCUGGGGUCCGAGAAAACCUGCAUGUCAAUUUCAGCUUUACCUCCUUCCAGCUCUUUAUCCGGCAAUAGUAUCUCUCUGAGUGUCUGCAGAGAUUAAAUAAACCAUUGUACGAUCUGCCCAGCACCGCGUGUGCAUGCAUAAGUCUUUUCCAUGAAAACGAUUUUUCUGUUACUACGUCACGCAAAAAUGUUGGGAAGAUUUUCCUCAAGUGUGAAGCUUGCGCUGGGGUGUCUGGCGGAGGCGUCAAGACGCUGUUAGUCAGGGGAGGCCGCCUCUGGGGCGGUGGACGUGACCUCACAGGCCAACACUGAAGAGCAGCCUCGCUCCUUAGCCCCACUGACCCCAGUUCCAAGGACGGGAUUGGCUCUCGGUCACUGGGUCCCGGUCCAUCUUGAGAAUCUUCCGAGGGCCCAGACAGCUUUAGGUUUGAGGUUUACCCUUGUUGGUGUGAGAACUGUGGCCCCAAAGCUCAGCCCCGGAACCUGCCUACGGAACAGGUGGGUGCCUCCCCUGGCCACCCCUCCCCAGCCCUGCGAUGGGCCGCUUCCGAGUCCUGGCCCCUGCGGGUGUCCCCGCCCUGCCCUCUAGGCUGUGACAGAACAGCAUGUGGCCUGCAUGCCUGCCAACCUGUACGAAGCAAGCCCUGGCCCCUCAGCUGGCUCCUGUGAAGGGAGGUGGUGAAGUCGGCCUGUAAGUGCCCAGGGAGGAGGCCUCAGAGGCUCAGGUGCCAGGCGGCUGUGCAGUGAGGGUCACACCAGGAGCGCACCGGGCAUUUGGUUUAAAAUUCGCUGACGUUCACUGUGUCAGGAACCCUACUGGCCUUGGAGUGAGGGAUGGAAUGGGACGUGGUCUCCGGGGCAGCUGCUGGGCCAGCCGGCCCAGGUCUUCGACCCCGAGCACAGUCGGUGGUCCAGGUCCAGAGGCCCGUGUUGGAAGAGGGGACAGUUAAUCAGUGACGAGGUGCUGCGGCUCCUGCCAGAAAGGAGCUUUCUGGUUCUCGCAGUCUUGCUCUUAGCUGGUAGAGUUUAAAAAGAAACUAAGUUGCUGUAAAUACCAUUUUCUUGUUAAGAAAUUCUAUUUUCUGUAGGUGGAUAUGUUGUUUGUCGCAUUUAUUAUUCUUUCCUCUCACACCUGAAAACAUCCCAUCCAACGGUCCAAGCUGUGGACAGCACGGUCCUCCUGGCAGCAAAAAUCAAUUGAGGUGCUCAGCGAUUAGUCACUGACGGAGGGAGGGCUCGGCCCUUGGUGUCGAUUCUAGAGAAUCAGGGCCCCGGGGGCCUCCCUGGGCCCCUCCGGCAGCCCUUCCUGCCACGCUUGGUGCCCAGGGCAAGGGGUGACCCCGAGGGAGGGGACAGGCUCUCUCCCGGAGGGGUCGGAGGGGCUGCUUCCGUCUGUCACCAGCUGGGGACCCCCAAGCCCUGCCCUGGGCCCCGUGCAGCAGCGCUCCCCGUGCGCUGAGCCCCCAGCUGUCCUUUGCAGCUCUGUCCUCCGGCAUCCCCUGUAGCUCCUGCUCUGUCUGCAGGGCCCUGGGACGCAGCUGGGGACAGUCACAAGUGUGGGGGCAGCUGCUCUCGGCGGGGAGGGGGCUUCGUGUGCCCCGAGUCGGAGGCGCACAGGCCAAGUCUGCAGCUCGAGCCCCGCAGGCCGAGUUCGAGAACACUGGGCUCUCAGGUGCCACGGGGGCUGAGACAGGGCAGGACACUUCGCUGGGGGAUGUUCCGCGUCCCGAGGGGGAUCUGUGCUGGUUGCAGCUCGGGGCUGAGGAGGGACCGUAAACUUGUUCGAAUCCUGCAGGUCCCGGGUUUCUGGGGACCCGAGGCUACGAUUUGGGGGCCUCUUUAAGAUUCAGAUGACAAAAUUCUCUUUUUUGUGUGUUUGUUUGGUUUUAUGAUUAUCCAAAAUAACAAUAGCUUUUAAAUUGCAUAUAUAACAAAUGAUCACGUAGAAAAACAGUACAGAAAAUGUAAGAAAGUCAACAUCUGGAAUUUUACCCCGUGUGCUGUGUCCACCCACCCUGCAUCCUUCACGUACUGAGGGCCUCUCUCCUUUCUGUUUUGUUCCCUCACCUCCACCCGCUCAACUCCCCACCUCCGUCCCCUGGGGACCGAGUGAUAUUACAGAACUGUCUUCAUGUUCGCAUCACUGUAUCUGAUUACUUGGGCUGAAUCACACAUACGUGGAUGUAUUUUUGUCAUUUUUUAUUUUGCUAAAAUAGAAUCUUCCUAUGUACACUCCUGCUGCAUCUUGCUUAGACCCCUGUAGCCAUUGGUGUCGAUCUUUCCUUCCCAACGUUGUAUUAGGAAGCCUUUUAAACACACACUAGAGUAGGAAGAAUCUUAUUUAGAAAAACACCCUUAUACCUGCUACCUAGAGUCUACCGUUAAUCUUUUCAUGGUUAACCUUGAUUUUCCAUCUAUCCAUCGCUCUAACCACCCAUCAUCCCAUCUUAUUUUAUGUUUAAAAAUGUAUUUCAGAGCAAGUUUCAGGCAUCGGUGUACCUGCCCCUAAAUGCUAUGCCUGUGUCUAGCUACAUACUUAGCUAGUGUUCAUUCCUUUACUCUUCCUUCUGAGAUAACCCUACUUAGAAUCUAGAGCCCUAACCUUGGGGGUGUCGUGUGAUGGGCUUUGGCAAAGGUACAUACCUGUGUAACCAGAUCCCUUCCGUCCAAUGCCGUCUGAGUCCCCCCAUGGGUUUGUCCCACCUUCUCUAGAACCUCUCACCUGGCCCUGCGGCUUCCUUCACGCGGAGUCCACCCGGAUCACGGCAGCAGCCGGACCGUGUCCCUGACCCUGCCUUGUGUGUCCCUCCAGGAGCCCCACUUUGUGGGCGCCCCUCUCAGCGGGUUCAUCCUCUUGCUGGGCGACACCAGGGCUGUUCUCUAGAAACUGCCAUGCGGCCCGUUCUUCUGAAUGGCUGUGAAGUUUCACUGUGCCCGUUCACACGCAUGUCCUCACACGGUUCUCAGUGAAUAGCUAUUUAGUUCUCUCUCUGACUUGCGACCACCAUGAACACGGCAGUGGUUGACCUGAAAAGGCCUUCCAUCUACUGAAGCUUUCACUUCCGUCGGCUAAAUCCCUGGGAGCGGGGUGGCUGGGCUGAGGGAUGUGUGCUUCUUCACACUUUUUUAAUAGAGUGUCAGCUGCAGGCCCUCACAUUUCCACCGCCAACCUGUGAGUUUCUUUGCCGACCUCCCUACUGGUGGGUGUCACCAUGUCAGAAGGAUUGUCCCUACCGAGACCACGUUGGUGUCACCGUCCUUCCUUUUCUUGGCCACCCGUGGGGCUGAACUUCUUUUCAUACACAUGGUGCCGCUUGUAUAUUUCUGUGAAUUGCCUCAUUUCCUUGGGCCACUUUACUUUGGGUUGUAGGUCUUUUCCUUAUCUUAACAAUUUGGGAAAGCGCUGUGCCUGUGACGGAAAAUUGGCUUUACCUACAAAUCGUUCCUUUCAUUGUAUGCAUUGCAGGUAUUUGCCCCCAGCGUGUCAUUUACCUGUUGAUUUUAAGUAUACUGUAUUUGCCUUACAUGUUUACAUUUUUUUCUGUAGUCAUAGGUAUGUGUAUGUGCUAUGUAUGUAUGUUUGCGUGGUGUGUAUACAUGUGUGGAUACAUUCUGAGCCCCCCUCCUUUUUUUCUGUUUGUUGAAAGAUCUUCCUAUGCUCUAGGUCACUUACAUAUUGUCCUGAAAUUUACUGUAAAUUCCUGCAAGUCUAUUUUUGCAUUGAGGUCCUUCCCUCGUUCAGCGUUAGUUUCACGUGAGGUGUGAGGCACCGUCCCAAUUUUCUUUCCCUCCACAGAUGGAACGCCGUGUGGCCAACCUCAUCUAUUUAAUAAACCCACCUCCACCCACCAAACUGAAAUACCAACUGCGUCAUUUAUUACAUUCUCCAAUAAAUUAGGAUCUGUUUCUAGAAUUCUGUUUUGUUUCAUUAACCUAUUUGUCUGUCUUUAUGCCAAGGUCAUUUCAUUUUGUUUAUCAUGUUAGAGGGAUUUUAUGGUGUGUCUUAGCAGCUGGUAAGGCAAGUCCCUCCCAGCCCACUGCAGCCCUCCAACACACAAAAACACCUUUUUCUUUGCUAUCUUUGGUCAUUUAUUUUUCCAUAGGAACUUUAAGAUAAGUUAAAUCCACAUUUCUCUCAAACCUAAUAGGAUUAAAAUUGCAGUUUUUAUAUUAUUUAUUAAUUUUUGGAUGAUUAAAAAUUUAUCAUACUGAAUCUUCUCAUUCAAGAACAUGAUAGAUUUUCUGCUUUGUUCAGACCUUGUUUUAUGUCUUUUGAUAAGAUUCUAUGGUAUUCUUCAAAUGACCUGAGCAAUAUUUCUUAUGGAAUGUGUUCCUAUUUUAUAGAUAUCUCUGUUAAGAAUUAAACAUUUCCCCAAUAUCCAUUUUUAGCUAUUUAAUACCAGUAUAGAAGAACAGUUAUGAAUUUUUCUGUGUUUAUCUUGUACACAGACACUUUAUUAAAUUCUUUGAUUAAUUCUAAUGCUUUCUUUUUUUCUCCAAGUGUCUUGAAUUUGUUAGGUAUAGAAUCACAUCACCAGCAAGGAAAGAAGGUUUGCCUUCACUCUCCCAAGGCUUACAUGGGCUCUUUUAUUUUCUCAUUUCAUUUGCCAGAUGGCUAAACCCGCCCUGAAUAGUCCCGGUGGGAGUGGGUAUCCCUGCUUCUUCCUGCUUUUAGUGCAGCUGACUUAGAGUGUCUUCAUUUACAAGGAGGUUUGUUGUAUUUUGGUCCUCCAUUAUAUAGCACAUAUUCAAUUUCUAUUACCACUUAACUGAAGUGUUGGUAGAGCAGCCGUUGAAUUUUUACGAAAGGUCUUUCUCUUCAGCAUCAGCGGUGUGCUUGUGUGAUGUUGCUGUUUCCAGAUAGUAAAUACAUGUUCAUUCUUGGGUUAAAGCUGAUUUGAUCAUAUUCUGUUACAUUCUUUUGAGACACUUCAGAUCUCAUUCAUUUAUCUUUUAUUCAGAACUUUAAAUUCAUAAAUAAUAUUUUUCUAUAGGGUUUUGGGAGUACUGUGAUAAUCUUAUCAAGCUCUGUUAUUAAGGAUAGACUAGCCUUAGAGAGUGAAUUAGGAAAAUUUUCAUCUUUUUAUAUGCCAUAGGCAAAUAAAUACGACAUUAAUAUUCACCCUACAGAAAUACUAGACAAGACUCAGCUCUGAAACCAGCUGCCCUGGGAUCUGUUUUGAUGGUACAUCCUUAAUCACUCUUUGAGUCUCUCCUAUAGUAUACUCACAUUUUUUUCUUCUUCAUGGGGAAAUUUUGCCUUUUUCUAUUUGUUAGAAAAAUCACUAAAUUUUCCCUAGAUUUUAACUUCAUUGCCCCAGAGUUACACAUACUAUUUACUUUUUAUUCUUAUAAUUCCUUUUGUAUCUGUAUUCUUUCUUCCCUAGUUUUAUAUAUUUCUUUUACUUUUCUUUUUCUUAAUCAGGCCCAUGAAGACAUUAUCUAUUUUAAUGGUCUUUCCAAGUAAUCAGCUUUAAGAUUUAUUUAUCUUUUCUACUUUUUUUUCUUAUUCUUCUUAAUUCCAGCUUAUAUCUUUAUUGAUUCUUCCUACUAAUUUUUUCUUACACUUUUUUCCCCCUAAUAUCUUCAGAUAGAGCAGUUAGUACUGCUUUAGCUGCAUCUGUUUUGGUAUAAAGUAUUUUUUUGAUUGCUUUUGAGAUAGAUUUAACUUGAAAUUUGAUUUUUAAUAUUAUGAAAUGGAUUAUUUAGAAAGAUAUACUUUAGUUUCUAAGAAAGCUUUUUUAUUAUAUUUUUCUAAUUUUAUUGGAUUAUGAUCAGAAUAUCCUAACUUCCGUUUUUCUGUUAGAUCUGAUUCUGCAAGGAGUGUAUUAACAAAUUCUGCUGUAAUUGUUUUUUUGGUGAAUACAUGUUUGUGACUAUUAUAUAUUUUUUAUCUUAACGAGUUAGAGAAAUCUUUAUAUACCUUUAAAUGACAUCUUUUUGUAUGAAUAUUGUGACCCCUGUUUUCAUCUUGCUUGCCUUCCCCUAACAUCUCUGUCUGCUUCCGCUGUCCCUUCACUCAUGGAUUCUGUCCACCUUUAAAGGCUAGCCUUGUGCAUCAAUUUGUAACAAUUUAACAUGCAGAUAUCAUCAUAAAUCCUUACCGGAGCAAGGAGGGGAAUGAGUGAGAAAGAAAGAAGGAAAGAAAGAAAAUGAAUCGAUCACUAAAUAAAGAGAAAUUUGGAGAUUCACCCAUAAGGCCAGGCAAUGGACACAAUAAGGAAGAUGCUCUGAACUGCUAACAUGGUGACCCGACCACGGAGUUGGGAACACUGCUGCAUCCGAAGGUUCAGUGUAUUUUGUUCCCCAGCAUGAGUUUCGGGAAGAAGCUGGACGCCUGUUCACACCCGCAGCCAACUUCGCUGGCCCCGGGGCAUCGCUGGAUGUGGGCACGAUACUCGACGAUGAGUUCCACAGACGCAUUCCUGUGGUCUGCCGUUGUUUUUAGUGAUGUAGUCACUGCUUUCAAUGUCUAAUUACAGGAUUUUGUUUAUUUUUAAAAACAGUGUAAUCUUGAUGUAG
Molecule: long non-coding RNA, 16545 nt
Organism: Aethalodelphis obliquidens (Pacific white-sided dolphin)
Lineage: Eukaryota; Metazoa; Chordata; Mammalia; Artiodactyla; Delphinidae
Exons: 2
Source: RefSeq, a predicted model, not a curated record